Molecule: non-coding RNA, 117 nt
Filed under: Pseudoxanthomonas suwonensis
Lineage: Bacteria; Pseudomonadati; Pseudomonadota; Gammaproteobacteria; Lysobacterales; Lysobacteraceae
Description: SAH sequence
Rfam family: SAH (S-adenosyl-L-homocysteine) riboswitch aptamer
Source: RNAcentral
GCCGUCGAGGGGCGCUGCGACCAUGGAAUGCGCGGACACUCCGCCACCGCCCGCCCUGCGGGCCGGGAUCCUGGCCAGGCUCGACGCGCUUCACCGCGACAACGGCGCCCGGACCAC